AUUGAACGCUGGCGGCAGGCCUAACACAUGCAAGUCGAGCGGAUGAAGGGAGCUUGCUCCUGGAUUCAGCGGCGGACGGGUGAGUAAUGCCUAGGAAUCUGCCUUGUAGUGGGGGAUAACGUCCGGAAACGGGCGCUAAUACCGCAUACGUCCUGAGGGAGAAAGUGGGGGAUCUUCGGACCUCACGCUAUCAGAUGAGCCUAGGUCGGAUUAGCUAGUUGGUGUGGUAAAGGCCUACCAAGGCGACGAUCCGUAACUGGUCUGAGAGGAUGAUCAGUCACACUGGAACUGAGACACGGUCCAGACUCCUACGGGAGGCAGCAGUGGGGAAUAUUGGACAAUGGGCGAAAGCCUGAUCCAGCCAUGCCGCGUGUGUGAAGAAGGUCUUCGGAUUGUAAAGCACUUUAAGUUGGGAGGAAGGGCAGUAAGUUAAUACCUUGCUGUUUUGACGGUACCAACAGAAUAAGCACCGGCUAACUUCGUG
Molecule: ribosomal RNA, 484 nt
Filed under: uncultured bacterium
Lineage: Bacteria
Description: partial 16S ribosomal RNA
Rfam family: Bacterial small subunit ribosomal RNA
Source: RNAcentral